Molecule: ribosomal RNA, 558 nt
Filed under: Staphylococcus capitis
Lineage: Bacteria; Bacillati; Bacillota; Bacilli; Caryophanales; Staphylococcaceae
Description: partial 23S ribosomal RNA
Rfam family: Bacterial large subunit ribosomal RNA
Source: RNAcentral
ACUAAGCGUACACGGUGGAUGCCCUGGCAGUCAGAGGCGAUGAAGGACGUGCUAAUCUGCGAUAAGCGUCGGUAAGGUGAUAUGAACCGUUAUAACCGGCGAUUUCCGAAUGGGGAAACCCAGUGUGUUUCGACACACUAUCAUUAACUGAAUCCAUAGGUUAAUGAGGCGAACCGGGGGAACUGAAACAUCUAAGUACCCCGAGGAAAAGAAAUCAACCGAGAUUCCCCCAGUAGCGGCGAGCGAACGGGGAGCAGCCCAGAGUCUGAAUCAGUGUGUGUGUUAGUGGAAGCGUCUGGAAAGGCGCGCGAUACAGGGUGACAGCCCCGUACACAAAAAUGCACAUGCUGUGAGCUCGAUGAGUAGGGCGGGACACGUGGUAUCCUGUCUGAAUAUGGGGGGACCAUCCUCCAAGGCUAAAUACUCCUGACUGACCGAUAGUGAACCAGUACCGUGAGGGAAAGGCGAAAAGAACCCCGGCGAGGGGAGUGAAAAAGAACCUGAAACCGUGUACGUACAAGCAGUGGGAGCCUCUUUUAUGGGGUGACUGCGUACCUU